RNAcentral lists this ribosomal RNA (429 nucleotides) under bacterium. RNAcentral describes it as "partial 16S ribosomal RNA". It matches the Rfam family "Bacterial small subunit ribosomal RNA", at positions 355 to 776 of the family's 1533-position model. The record is from RNAcentral. RNAcentral also lists the same sequence under 1 other name.
UGGGGAAUUUUGGACAAUGGGGGCAACCCUGAUCCAGCAAUGCCGCGUGUGUGAAGAAGGCCUUCGGGUUGUAAAGCACUUUUGUCCGGGAAGAAAUCGCACCUGAUAAUACCGGGUGUGGAUGACGGUACCGGAAGAAUAAGGACCGGCUAACUACGUGCCAGCAGCCGCGGUAAUACGUAGGGUCCAAGCGUUAAUCGGAAUUACUGGGCGUAAAGCGUGCGCAGGCGGUUGUGCAAGACCGAUGUGAAAUCCCCGGGCUUAACCUGGGAAUUGCAUUGGUGACUGCACGGCUAGAGUGUGUCAGAGGGGGGUAGAAUUCCACGUGUAGCAGUGAAAUGCGUAGAGAUGUGGAGGAAUACCGAUGGCGAAGGCGGCCCCCUGGGAUAACACUGACGCUCAUGCACGAAAGCGUGGGGAGCAAACAGG